GGCGAGUGGCGAACGGGUGAGUAACAUAUCGGAACGUACCGAGCAGUGGGGGAUAACUAAUCGAAAGAUUAGCUAAUACCGCAUAUAUUCUGAGGAAGAAAGCAGGGGACCAUUUGGCCUUGCGCUGUUUGAGCGGCCGAUAUCUGAUUAGCUAGUUGGUGGGGUAAAGGCCUACCAAGGCGACGAUCAGUAGCGGGUCUGAGAGGAUGAUCCGCCACACUGGGACUGAGACACGGCCCAGACUCCUACGGGAGGCAGCAGUGGGGAAUUUUGGACAAUGGGCGCAAGCCUGAUCCAGCCAUGCCGCGUGUCUGAAGAAGGCCUUCGGGUUGUAAAGGACUUUUGUCAGGGAAGAAAAGGGCGGGGUUAAUACCCCUGUCUGAUGACGGUACCUGAAGAAUAAGCACCGGCUAACUACGUGCCAGCAGCCGCGGUAAUACGUAGGGUGCGAGCGUUAAUCGGAAUUACUGGGCGUAAAGCGGGCGCAGACGGUUACUUAAGCAGGAUGUGAAAUCCCCGGGCUCAACCUGGGAACUGCGUUCUGAACUGGGUGACUAGAGUGUGUCAGAGGGAGGUAGAAUUCCACGUGUAGCAGUGAAAUGCGUAGAGAUGUGGAGGAAUACCGAUGGCGAAGGCAGCCUCCUGGGAUAACACUGACGUUCAUGCCCGAAAGCGUGGGUAGCAAACAGGAUUAGAUACCCUGGUAGUCCACGCCCUAAACGAUGUCGAUUAGCUGUUGGGCAGCAUGACUGCUUAGUAGCGAAGCUAACGCGUGAAAUCGACCGCCUGGGGAGUACGGUCGCAAGAUUAAAACUCAAAGGAAUUGACGGGGACCCGCACAAGCGGUGGAUGAUGUGGAUUAAUUCGAUGCAACGCGAAGAACCUUACCUGGUCUUGACAUGUACGGAACCCUCCAGAGACGGAGGGGUGCCUUCGGGAGCCGUAACACAGGUGCUGCAUGGCUGUCGUCAGCUCGUGUCGUGAGAUGUUGGGUUAAGUCCCGCAACGAGCGCAACCCUUGUCAUUAGUUGCCAUCAUUAAGUUGGGCACUCUAAUGAGACUGCCGGUGACAAGCCGGAGGAAGG
This 1085-nucleotide ribosomal RNA is filed under the name Neisseria perflava. Its description in RNAcentral is "bacterial SSU rRNA". It matches the Rfam family "Bacterial small subunit ribosomal RNA", at positions 90 to 1173 of the family's 1533-position model. The record is from RNAcentral. Lineage: Bacteria; Pseudomonadati; Pseudomonadota; Betaproteobacteria; Neisseriales; Neisseriaceae.